GAAGUACUCCCUCCGUCCCAAAAUUCUUGUCUUAGAUUUGUCUAGAUACGGGUGUAUCGUCAUACAUCCGUAUCUAGACAAAUUUAAGACACAUCCGUAUCUAGACAAAUCUAAGACAAGAAUUUUGGGACAGAGGUAAGAUUUG
This is a non-coding RNA of Triticum aestivum (bread wheat), 145 nucleotides long. NCBI's taxonomy places the organism in Eukaryota, Viridiplantae, Streptophyta, Magnoliopsida, Poales, Poaceae. The record is from Rfam.